AGUUAACAGGUUCUAAUUUUGCCUAUGAAAAUGAGCUUCAGAUGUGAGGUUGUGAUCUAUGUAAAUUAAAUGUAACCCCUCAGUAUCAGAAGAUAAUUCCACUUGGGCCACUUAAGGACAAAAAAACGUGCUAACGGUCCAUGCUGCAACACCAGACUAAGUCAUCUGGUGCUGAGAUAAGAGCUGCGUGGUGAAACCUGCUGCUAGUUUGUGUUUCAUGGGCAAUCUGGAGUACCAAGGAGCACGUCAGGCCUUGACGCCCACCAUUACAGCAGCAUGGAGCCCUGUCUGACACAGCAGUGUGUGGCAUUGCCUAAGAUGGUGGCCGCCCCAGGCCUGGCAGGAGGGUGGAUACAUGUGAUGAUGCUUUCUGAGGCCGGGGCUUGCAAGAAAGGCAUUGCAGCCCUGCUGCUCACGCUGUCUGAGGUGUCUGUUGCCACACCGUCUGGCUCAGCCAUGCUGAAACAGUGCUCACAGAUGUGAAACCAGCAGCAGCGGCAGAAAGACUUCGUCAACACCAGCAAAUCACUGUUUCUACCUCUGCAAGGUCAGCUUCUGAAGGCAACGUGUUCAAGACCACAGCUCCACAACUGGUGAGGAACAUUAAUUGUCAGGAAACACUUAGAAAUUACACAGUGUUAGUUGUUAGGCAAAAAGUGUUCUCAUGACAGAGCCAAUGUCUGAAUUUAAGGCCAGCCUUGCAUCUAUACAGUGAAUAGUUUGUGAGUAACUUCAGUGGGGUUAGGAUGAAGCCCAGGAGUUUCUUACUCAUUACUUGCUGGGUGAAUGACACGAUGAACAUCUGCAGAACAUGUUCCUGUGUCAUCACU
Cygnus atratus (black swan) is the source of this 830-nucleotide long non-coding RNA. RefSeq lists it as uncharacterized. NCBI's taxonomy places the organism in Eukaryota, Metazoa, Chordata, Aves, Anseriformes, Anatidae. The transcript is spliced from 3 exons. The record is from RefSeq and is a predicted model, not a curated record.